Molecule: ribosomal RNA, 434 nt
Filed under: uncultured Lachnospiraceae bacterium
Lineage: Bacteria; Bacillati; Bacillota; Clostridia; Lachnospirales; Lachnospiraceae
Description: partial 16S ribosomal RNA
Rfam family: Bacterial small subunit ribosomal RNA
Source: RNAcentral
ACGGAAGGCAGCGGUGGGGAAUAUUGGACAAUGGGGGAAACCCUGAUCCAGCGACGCCGCGUGAGUGAAGAAGUAUUUCGGUAUGUAAAGCUCUAUCAGCAAGGAAGAAAAUGACGGUACUUGACUAAGAAGCUCCGGCUAAAUACGUGCCAGCAGCCGCGGUAAUACGUAUGGAGCAAGCGUUAUCCGGAUUUACUGGGUGUAAAGGGAGCGUAGACGGCAAAGCAAGUCCGAAGUGAAAUCCCGGGGCUCAACCCCGGAACUGCUUUGGAAACUGUUUAGCUAGAGUGCAGGUGAGGUAAGCGGAAUUCCUAGUGUAGCGGUGAAAUGCGUAGAUAUUAGGAGGAACACCAGUGGCGAAGGCGGCUUACUGGACUGUAACUGACACUGAGGCUCGAAAGCGUGGGGAGCAAACAGGAUUAGAUACCCUGGUA